CUACGGGUCGCACCAGUGAGGAAUAUUGCACAAUGGGGGGAACCCUGAUGCAGCAACGCCGCGUGGAGGAUGACGCAUUUCGGUGUGUAAACUCCUUUUAUAUGUCAAGAAGAUGACGGUAGCAUAUGAAUAAGCGCCGGCUAACUCCGUGCCAGCAGCCGCGGUAAUACGGAGGGCGCAAGCGUUACUCGGAAUCACUGGGCGUAAAGGACGCGUAGGCGGGUUGAAAAGUCAGGUGUGAAAGCCUACAGCUUAACUGUAGAACUGCGCUUGAAACUCUCAAUCUAGAGUAUGGGAGGGGCAGAUGGAAUUAGUGGUGUAGGGGUAAAAUCCGUAGAUAUCACUAGGAAUACCUAAAGCGAAGGCGAUCUGCUGGAACAUUACUGACGCUAAGGCGUGAAAGCGUGGGGAGCAAACAGGAUUAGAUACCCCCGUAGUC
This 439-nucleotide ribosomal RNA is filed under the name uncultured bacterium. RNAcentral's name for it is "partial 16S ribosomal RNA". It matches the Rfam family "Bacterial small subunit ribosomal RNA", at positions 339 to 795 of the family's 1533-position model. The record is from RNAcentral.